AGUUAAAAAAUACGCUCUGGACAUAGGGUUAUUUUCCCUCCACUUUGCUGUAAAUCAGAAAAAGUGCCAAAAUCCAAACCUCUCUUCUCCGGCCGCCUCGGCGCACUUUCGCCAAAGUUGUAUUCAGUGUCUCUCUGUUAAAAGUUCGAAAAAUCUCAACCUCAAAAUUUCAAAAUUGGGCUGAAAAUAGUUGCCUACUUAACGGUACUCUUGACUUUGAUUCAUUGUUUGAUUGAUGAUCUUCCUCAUAUAUAUAGUUUCUUGUUGACUGAACUAAAGUCUUAUCAUAUUCCUGAUUCCUUUUUUUCUUGGUUUUGUCUACAGUGGUAUUCAAGAAAAUGAAUUACAACGCCGACGGUCCAAAGCUUGAUUUGAAAAAACUGAAUUUAUCCCCCACCAAGGGCAUAUAUUCAUGUUGAAUCUCCCAAUCGAUCAGUUUCAUCUUCAGAGAUAUCAUCUCCAAGUUCAUGUUUUUUUCUGGAAGUUAGCUCGGACGAAACUCUACGCAGCCCCUAAGGAGACUACGAUGAUGCUGGUCGGUUGUCCUCGAUGUCUAAUGUAUAUUAUGCUAUUGGGAAAGGACCCGAAGUGCCCCAAAUGUAAGCGCACUUCCUGCAAGAGGACAGGACAAGGAAAUCAAAGAAGUGAAGAUCCAUUAGUCUUUUGCUAAAUCUUGAUCAAGAAUGUUAUUACUUAAUUUUCACUCCAAAUGCUCCCUGUUUUGCUUCUUUUGUUGUGCUAAUUUUUUAUUUUUAUUUUUUGCUUUUUUAAUCUUUGUAUUGUCGACAGUGUAGAAACUAUUGAAUUCGCGUGUACUAGAUAGGACAAUAAAAUUUAUUUUUGAACCCAUUUGAUUCAGUUCAAUCCAACAUAUUAAACAUGAUACUUACAUAUUCUUUCUUUAAUAUCAUUUCGCUCUUAAGUUUCAUAUUUUGAUGAGGUGUAUUGUUGGUUUCAUUUUGUAACGUG
This 969-nucleotide long non-coding RNA is filed under the name Olea europaea subsp. europaea. The record is from RNAcentral. Lineage: Eukaryota; Viridiplantae; Streptophyta; Magnoliopsida; Lamiales; Oleaceae.